AUGCAAGUCGAGCGGGGGAAGGUAGCUUGCUACCGGACCUAGCGGCGGACGGGUGAGUAAUGCUUAGGAAUCUGCCUAUUAGUGGGGGACAACAUCUCGAAAGGGAUGCUAAUACCGCAUACGUCCUACGGGAGAAAGCAGGGGAUCUUCGGACCUUGCGCUAAUAGAUGAGCCUAAGUCGGAUUAGCUAGUUGGUGGGGUAAAGGCCUACCAAGGCGACGAUCUGUAGCGGGUCUGAGAGGAUGAUCCGCCACACUGGGACUGAGACACGGCCCAGACUCCUACGGGAGGCAGCAGUGGGGAAUAUUGGACAAUGGGGGGAACCCUGAUCCAGCCAUGCCGCGUGUGUGAAGAAGGCCUUAUGGUUGUAAAGCACUUUAAGCGAGGAGGAGGCUACUUUAGUUAAUACCUAGAGAUAGUGGACGUUACUCGCAGAAUAAGCACCGGCUAACUCUGUGCCAGCAGCCGCGGUAAUACAGAGGGUGCGAGCGUUAAUCGGAUUUACUGGGCGUAAAGCGUGCGUAGGCGGCUUAUUAAGUCGGAUGUGAAAUCCCCGAGCUUAACUAGGGAAUUGCAUUCGAUACUGGUGAGCUAGAGUAUGGGA
RNAcentral lists this ribosomal RNA (604 nucleotides) under Acinetobacter baumannii OIFC143. Its description in RNAcentral is "bacterial SSU rRNA". It matches the Rfam family "Bacterial small subunit ribosomal RNA", at positions 55 to 653 of the family's 1533-position model. Lineage: Bacteria; Pseudomonadati; Pseudomonadota; Gammaproteobacteria; Moraxellales; Moraxellaceae. The record is from RNAcentral.